This 535-nucleotide ribosomal RNA is filed under the name uncultured Acidobacteriota bacterium. Its description in RNAcentral is "bacterial SSU rRNA". It matches the Rfam family "Bacterial small subunit ribosomal RNA", at positions 38 to 605 of the family's 1533-position model. Lineage: Bacteria; Pseudomonadati; Acidobacteriota. The record is from RNAcentral.
GGCGGCGCGCUUAACACAUGCAAGUCGCACGAGAAAGGGGAGCAAUCCCUGAGUAAAGUGGCGUACGGGUGAGUAACACGUGGAUCAUCUACCUUCUAGUGGGGAAUACCCCUGGGAAACCGGGGAUAAUACCGCAUAAGCUCGAAAGAGGAAAGCAGCAAUGCGCUGGAAGAGGAGUCCGCGGCUGAUUAGCUAGUUGGCGGGGUAACGGCCCACCAAGGCGAAGAUCGGUAGCCGGCCUGAGAGGGCACACGGCCACACUGGCACUGAAACACGGGCCAGACUCCUACGGGAGGCAGCAGUGGGGAAUCUUGCACAAUGGAGGAAACUCUGAUGCAGCGACGCCGCGUGAGCGAUGAAGCCCUUCGGGGUGUAAAGCUCUUUCGACGGGAACGAUAAUGACGGUACCCGAAGAAGAAGCUGCGGCUAACUACGUGCCAGCAGCCGCGGUAAUACGUAGGCAGCGAGCGUUGUUCGGAAUUACUGGGCGUAAAGAGUGUGUAGGCGGUGCUCUAAGUCUGGUGUGAAAUCUCCC